GACGAACGCUGGCGGCGUGCUUAACACAUGCAAGUCGAACGGAAAGGCCCUGCUUUUGUGGGGUGCUCGAGUGGCGAACGGGUGAGUAACACGCGAGUAACCUGCCCUUGACUUAGGGAUAACUUCAGGAAACUGGGGCUAAUACCGGAUAGGAGCUCCUGCUGCAUGGUGGGGGUUGGAAAGUUUCGGCGGUUGGGGAUGGACUCGCGGCUUAUCAGCUUGUUGGUGGGGUAGUGGCUUACCAAGGGUUUGACGGCUAGCCGGCCUGAGAGGGUGACCGGCCACAAUGCGACUGCGAUACGGAGCAGACUCCUACGGGCGGCAGCAGUCGGGAAUAUUGCACAAUGGGGGGAAGCCUGAUACAGCAGCGUCGCGUGCGGGAUGCCGGCCUUCGGGUUAUAAACCGCUUUCGACUGUGACGAAGCGUGAGUGACGGUAAUGGGUAAAGAAGCACCGGCUAACUACGUG
RNAcentral lists this ribosomal RNA (468 nucleotides) under uncultured bacterium. Its description in RNAcentral is "partial 16S ribosomal RNA". It matches the Rfam family "Bacterial small subunit ribosomal RNA", at positions 28 to 507 of the family's 1533-position model. The record is from RNAcentral.